Oncorhynchus tshawytscha (Chinook salmon) is the source of this 1146-nucleotide long non-coding RNA. Lineage: Eukaryota; Metazoa; Chordata; Actinopteri; Salmoniformes; Salmonidae. The record is from Ensembl.
ACAACAACCACCACCACAACUACAACCCACCACCAACAACCACCACAACUACAACCCACCAACAACAACCACCCACAACAACAACACCACCAACAACCACCACCACCACCAACAACCACAACUACAAACCACCACCAACCACCAACAACAACAACCACCAACAACAACAACAACAACCACCACCAACCACAACCACCAACAACAACAACCACAACAACAACCACCAACACCAACAACCAACAACAACAACCACCACCACCACCAACAACAACCACCAACAACCACCAACAACAACAACAACCACAACCCACCACCAACAACCACAACCCACCACCAACAACAACCAACCACCACCAACAACCAACAACCACAAACCCACCACAACAAUGACCCACCACCAACAAUCAUCAUCACCAACCACCAACCACAAACAAUCACCACCACCACCAACCACCACCAACAAUCACGAUCACCAACAACCACAACAAUCACCACCACCAACAAUCACCACCACCAACCACAAACAAUCACCACCACCAACAACAACCAAUUACCACCAGCAACAACCAACCACCACCACCACCCGACCAACAACAACCAACAACCACCACAACAACGACCAACCACCAACAAUCACCACCACCAACAACCACCAACCACAAACAAUCACCACCAACCAACCAACCACCACCAACAACAACAACAACCACCACCAACCACAACCACCAACAACAACCACCACCAACAACAACCACCACCACCACAACAACAACAACCACCACCAACAACAACAACCACCACAACCACCAACACCACCACCAACAACAACAACCACCAACAACAACAACCACAACCCACCACCAACAACCACAACCCACCACCAACAACAACCAACCACCACCAACAACCAACAACCACCAACCACCACCCACCACAACAAUGACCCACCACCAACAAUCACCAUCACCAACCACCAACAAUCACCACCACCACCAACAAUCACGACCACCAACAACCACAACAAUCACCACCACCAACAAUCACCACCACCAACCACAAACAAUCACCACCACCACAACAACCAAUUACCACCAGCAACAACCACCACCACCACCACCAACAACAACCACCACCACAACAACACCC